Molecule: ribosomal RNA, 468 nt
Filed under: uncultured bacterium
Lineage: Bacteria
Description: partial 16S ribosomal RNA
Rfam family: Bacterial small subunit ribosomal RNA
Source: RNAcentral
GACGAACGCUGGCGGCGUGCUUAACACAUGCAAGUCGAACGGAAAGGCCCUGCUUUUGCUGGGUGCUCGAGUGGCGAUCGGGUGAGUAACACGUGAGUAACCUUCCCUUGACUUUGGGAUAACUUCAGGAUACUGGAGCUAAUACCGGAUAGGAGCUCCUGCUGCAUGGUGGGGGUUGGAAAGUUUCGGCGGUUGGGGAUGGACUCGCGGCUUAUCAGCUUGUUGGUGGGGUAUUGGCUUACCAAGGCUUUGCCGGGUAGCCGUCCUGAGAAGGUGACCGGCAACAUUGGGACAUAAAUACGGCACUGACUCCUACGGGAGGCAGCUGUGGAGAAUUUUGCACAAUGGGCGGUCGUCAGAUGCAGCAAAGCCGUGUGCGGAAUGCCGGCCUUCGGGUUGAAAACCGCUUUGGCCUGAGACGAAGCGUGAGUGACGGUAAUGGGUAAAAAAGCACCGGCUAACUACGUG